MicroRNA precursor from Oryza sativa Indica Group (long-grained rice), 207 nucleotides. It matches the Rfam family "MIR812 microRNA precursor family". The record is from Rfam. Lineage: Eukaryota; Viridiplantae; Streptophyta; Magnoliopsida; Poales; Poaceae.
AAUAAGUGCAGUUUUGCACUAUUCACGUUCAACGUUUGACCGUCCGUCUUAUUUGAAAUUUUUUUAUGAUUAGUAUUUUUAUUGCUAUUAGAUGAUAAAACAUGAAUAAUACUUUAUGUGUGACUAAAUAUUUUUAAUUUUUUCAUAAAUUCUUCAAAUAAGACGGACGGUCAAACGUUGGGCAUGAUAUUCACGGCUGCACUUAUU